RNAcentral lists this ribosomal RNA (277 nucleotides) under uncultured Bacteroides sp. RNAcentral's name for it is "partial 16S ribosomal RNA". It matches the Rfam family "Bacterial small subunit ribosomal RNA", at positions 511 to 788 of the family's 1533-position model. Lineage: Bacteria; Pseudomonadati; Bacteroidota; Bacteroidia; Bacteroidales; Bacteroidaceae. The record is from RNAcentral.
GCAGCCGCGGUAAUACGGAGGAUGCGAGCGUUAUCCGGAUUUAUUGGGUUUAAAGGGUGCGCAGGCGGUGGAAUAAGUCAGCGGUAAAAUUUCGGGGCUCAACCUCGUUUAGCCGUUGAAACUGCUCCACUAGAGUGGACGAGAAGUAUGCGGAAUGCGUAGUGUAGCGGUGAAAUGCAUAGAUAUUACGCAGAACUCCGAUUGCGAAGGCAGCAUACCGGCGUCCAACUGACGCUCAUGCACGAAAGCGUGGGUAUCGAACAGGAUUAGAUACCCC